RNAcentral lists this ribosomal RNA (440 nucleotides) under uncultured bacterium. RNAcentral's name for it is "partial 16S ribosomal RNA". It matches the Rfam family "Bacterial small subunit ribosomal RNA", at positions 338 to 795 of the family's 1533-position model. The record is from RNAcentral.
CCUACGGGAGGCAGCAGUGGGGAAUAUUGCACAAUGGGGGAAACCCUGAUGCAGCGACGCCGCGUGAGUGAAGAAGUAUUUCGGUAUGUAAAGCUCCAUCAGCAGGGGAGAAAAUGACGGUACGUGAUUAAGAAGCACCGGCUAACUACGUGCCAGCAGCCGCGGUAAUACGUAGGGGGCAAGCGUUAUCCGGAUUUACUGGGCGUAAAGGGAGCGUAGAGGGUGGUGCAAGUCAGCAGGGAAAGCCCGGGGCUUAACUCCGGGACUGCUUUUGAAACUGUGUAACUGGAGUGCAGGAGAGGUAAGCGGAAUGCCUGGUGUAGCGGUGAAAUGCGUAGAUAUCAGGAGGAACACCGGUGGCGAAGGCGGCUUACUGGACUGUAACUGACGUUGAGGCUCGAAAGCGUGGGGAGCAAACAGGAUUAGAUACCCUUGUAGUC